GGUACUGCUUAUUCUUUGCACAUCUUUAGAGCUGUUUUUUUCUUCUUUUCAGUUUUCAAACUUUGAUCACAUGGAUAAAAGUGAAAAUAACACAAGUGGGAAAAUGUGUGGAGCACUGCAUGUCACAGAUGGACUAAGGUGACAAGGUUUUGCUGUUACUCACUGAAGCCACUAGGUACGUUCUGCAAAACAACAACAACAACAACAACAAAAGAAGUACAUCUUUUUUUUUAGUUAGUGGGCAUUUGUUACAUCUGCCUAACCUGGACCUCUGUCCCUUUCAGGAUAAUUUGAGAAGACACUCCAGCCACUGCUUCUAGUAACAUUUUGUCCCCUAUCUCCAAAAAAAUAGAAGACUUGUAUGUCGUAGCCAACUAUUUUCUUUUAAUAUAUUUUCCUUUCAUUCCAGAGUUUUGAGACCUAAACUAUGUCUCGUUCCAGUGUUUGAAGAAUAUUGUGGAGUAACGUCCAAGCUGGCACGCAGCAGCAGCUCCAGCCAUGUCACCACUGAAGCUGCUGCUGAAAGCUGGGAAGCCAAUGUGAUAACAAUGGGAUUACUGAUCAGUGGUACUGCAGGUCUUGCAUGUCUUCUACAGAACUAAGAGCUGAGGACAGUGGAAACUUCUCAUGACUGGUGAUAUUAUACACCAAGAAAGACUGGUUUGAGUGUCUGGAGCUGACUGCCUUUGUAUAUAUUCUUCCAUUACACAAGAAAUUGUUUUUGAAUGCAAUCAAAACAUUGACCCUGGAUCCUUUUGCAGUUGACAGUGGUGUUAAGAGUUCUCUGUAGGCCAGCUGAGCAAAAAUAAUGAGACACUGGUGAAAGCUCAAUACCAGGCCUCUUGCUUCUGAAAGGAAAAUCCAGCAAACUGAUUCUUCAGAUCUUGUCUUUCUCUGGUUCUAACACUCAUGAGUUAACAUGUUAUUCAAGAUAUUUUAAAGUACUUUAAUUAAAUAAAUACUACAUUUGCAAAUGUCA
This 979-nucleotide long non-coding RNA is filed under the name Coturnix japonica (Japanese quail). RNAcentral's name for it is "lncRNA (ENSCJPG00005008917.1)". The record is from RNAcentral. Lineage: Eukaryota; Metazoa; Chordata; Aves; Galliformes; Phasianidae.